Molecule: long non-coding RNA, 1691 nt
Organism: Vicia villosa (hairy vetch)
Lineage: Eukaryota; Viridiplantae; Streptophyta; Magnoliopsida; Fabales; Fabaceae
Exons: 5
Source: RefSeq, a predicted model, not a curated record
UCUCCUCAAACCCUAAUAUGGAAAGAAAAAGCCAGACUCCCAUCCCGCCGUCGUACACCCAUUUCGCGUCAGGAUUUUGGUAUUCCUCAUCUCACGGGCUUCUCAAUGAACCGAUUGGAUUUCUGUUUCAAGCUAUCUCGCCGUCGACCACUACUUCUCCUUCUCCGACAACCGACGUAUGAAAAUGGUUUGAUGUGGAAUUUGUUGAUUUGAGUUUGAAUGGUAUGUAUCCAGCAAUUUGUCGCUUCGCCGAUAUCUGCAAGAGUUAAAUUGAUGAAAAGAAAAUUCAAAUUACAUGGUAUGGAUUUUAUGGUGAUAUUAUGACAUAGAGCGAGAAGUAUCGCUGGAUGGGUCCGAAACGUUAUGAUUAUGCUAGAACAAUGGUGUUUUAAGGCACAGUAUUGUCCAAGGGGAUAUGACAUAGUGCCUUGAUACUUUCAACUCUAAAUAUCUUUUGGACUUGCAUUUUUAUUCUUAAACCAACAAGUAUAUAUGUGUGAUGCUGUUUUAAAACGGUAUAGUUCCCGCAGUUGAAGAAAGUUUAUUGUUGUAACACUACAGGAAGGCAUGUUCAACAAUCCAUUUAUGUCGGGCGUUAUCUAAAGGUUUGGUUAUUGUUUAUGUUAAUAGAGGAUGGAAUGUUAAGGUUUCUUCUGUUGGGCAAGACAGACAAGGAGUGGAUAAUCAUGCCAAUAGUCUUUCUUCCAAAAUCUGCAAUAUAUUAGUUUUAGUACUUACUGGUACGGUGAAAAACACGGUAACAAAAUUGACUGUGCUCCCUACUUUCUGCUGAAAAAGAAAAUCUCAAUCUUAAUUUUUUUUUUCACUUUGAUCUUAAAAAACACGACUUACAAAGAUAUGAGAACCAUAUUUUGCAUUGGACUCUUCAUCUAUUACCUCUUUCAAAUGAGUUCUUAUAAUUCUUGCCGUGUGUUCUUAUCUUUUGUAUUGGUUCAGUUUGUUCAGGUUAGUAUUCGCUGAUAAGCUGACUGGUGCAGGGUGUAAUUGUGUCGUUCAAACAAGAGAUGCAUUUAGCAUUUAAGCCAACGAGAGGUUAGUAUAUUUCAAUGGCGUAAGUAUUAAUUAUUGACAAGCAUUUUGUUUAGUAUCAGAUUGUGGUGGUGUCAUAAGUAUCCUUCUCUUAAGUUUUAGAGGACUUAUGCCUUAACUAGCUUUUUAAAAAUAGUAUCUUUGUUGUUGACUGCCUAAUGCCAAUUUUUUUGGUACAAAACAUUCUGCAAUACUAUUGGUACGACUAAAAGGUUCAAGGCUAAUCGUUUCGGCUGGUAUUAUGAACUUUGUCUAAACUGUAACAAGAUUAACAAAUCGUCAGCUCCCCUUUCAAUGCAAUUGCUCCGAUACUAAAUCAGUCUCAAUCGCCAAGUAACCAUUUCUAUAUUGCUUACUGUUAUAUUAUGCAUUCAUAUUUAUACUUGGAAUCUAACAACCUAUCCAUUACAUUUAUAUUAGGUAUAAAAUAGAUAUAGAGGUUGAGCAUGAAAACAAAAAUUUUGUUUUCUUUGUUGGUUUGUAAGCUCAUGAUUCAACACUUACAAAAUUAAUUGUGAAUUAAGUCGACACAACCAUGUAUGCAACACGACCAUGUAUGCAACAGAAGUAAAAAGAUCAUUUAUUGCAGCAGCGUCAUUGCGAGUCUUUUUCUUAUUUUCAUUUUAUUAUUUAUUUUGAAA